This 375-nucleotide ribosomal RNA is filed under the name Goniomonas pacifica. RNAcentral describes it as "partial Eukaryotic small subunit ribosomal RNA". It matches the Rfam family "Eukaryotic small subunit ribosomal RNA", at positions 1325 to 1719 of the family's 1831-position model. Lineage: Eukaryota; Cryptophyceae; Goniomonadida; Goniomonadaceae. The record is from RNAcentral.
CCGAUAACGAACGAGACCUCAGCCUGCUAACUAGCUACGCGGAGGUUCCCCUUCGCGGCCAGCUUCUUAGAGGGACUAUGGCCGUUUAGGCCAUGGAAGUUUGAGGCAAUAACAGGUCUGUGAUGCCCUUAGAUGUCCGGGGCUGCACGCGCGCUACACUGACUGGCUCAGCGUGUGCCUACCCUACGCCGGCAGGCGCGGGUAACCCGUUGAACCCCAUUCGUGAUGGGGAUCGGGGAUUGCAAUUAUUCCCCAUGAACGAGGAAUUCCCAGUAAGUGCGGGUCAUAAGCUUGCGUUGAUUAAGUCCCUGCCCUUUGUACACACCGCCCGUCGCUCCUACCGAUUGAAUGGUCCGGUGAAGUGUUCGGAUCGCG